RNAcentral lists this long non-coding RNA (1420 nucleotides) under Trifolium pratense (red clover). RNAcentral describes it as "long non-coding RNA (TPRA_LNC006635)". Lineage: Eukaryota; Viridiplantae; Streptophyta; Magnoliopsida; Fabales; Fabaceae. The record is from RNAcentral.
AUGUGUAUAAAUUUGUUUACAUGAGAUAUUUAUUAUUGUCACAAGACUCACAUUAAUGCCUUUAAUUUUUUUAUUUGUUUUUUUGAAUAAAUUUUAUUUUACUUUUACAAUUAAUUUGAUUGAAAAUAAUAAAAAUUUGAUAUUAUUUUUAAUGUUGACGGAUCCUCGCAAAAAUUGUGGCGUUCCAAGAAAAUGAGGAUGAAAGAAAAUAAUCUUGCGAAUGGUAAAUGAUAAUUGAAAAUAUUUUAGAUGGCGGAAAAGGAAGUGAUAAAAUACUCUCAGUUUAAUAUCUUUGAUAUCACUAUUUGUAGGUCAAUCAUUUUAGAUUAUAAAAAGGAUCUAAUGUGAGAACAAAAUAUUAGUCAGAAAGUGGUUAAAGGAAAGAGCAAGACUUUCAUAUAUUGUCACAUGAUCAUUGAUGAAUCCUCAUCUUUACAUGUUAGUUUGAGCAAUUUAAGACAAAAUCUAGGAAAUAAUGUAAGAAACUUGAUCACAAAUAGUAGAAAGACAGAUGAUUUGAAGUGUUUCACAAGAAAGAAAGAUGUUUUGAUCAUGUAGCUGCGCAUGGCGCAGGAAGGCCUGUGCAUGGCGCAAUUCAGGCCAUUAGGGAGAUCAUUUUUAUGUGACCUACCCAUGGCGCAGGGGGUAGCUGUGCCUGGCGCAAUGCAAUUCGAAAGGAUGUUAAUAUUCUCUGUUGUCUGUGCAUAGCACAGAGGUCACUGCGCAUGGCGCAAUUCAAGCUUUGCAAAGACGAUUAUUCUCUGUUGACUGCGCAUGGCGCAUGUGAGGCUGCGCAUGGCACAACAGAGUUGCAGUAUUUAAGGAAAUUCAGUUUUCUGGUGCCAUGUUUGAAUAUUUUUAAGGAAGAACGCAUUUGAAGGCUUGGAUCUACUUUUCCUCAGCUAGAUUCGUCCAGAUUCACUCAAUUCUUAAUGGAUAUGGAUUUCUCUUCAUCUUUUCCAUUGGAUUUCUCAGCUGAUAUGUGGAACUAAGAUCCAUAUGAUUGGAAUUCAUAGGUGAAUUCGUUUCAUUCAUUAUGAUGUAAUUGUUUGUAUUUGAAUGAAUUGAAUCAAAUUUUCUCAACCAAGUGUUCCUUAUGCUUAUUGCUUUACAAUAUUUAUUGGCCAUUUAUGUGAUGAUCUUGAUGAUUGAUUUGCUAUGAGAGUAAAAAUUAAUUGUGGACUGGGAACUAUUGGACAAUUGUUGAAACUUUAGAGAUUUUGUGUUAUCAAUUGUGAUAUGCAGAAUUUAAGUGCUUAAAACCUCAAUUAAUCACAAUUCAAUUAGGGAUGUGUGAUCAAUUGAGAGAAUUGUGAUCCAAAAUAUUGGACUCAAUUAGUUUGUUAAUUUUAUCUUGAGAAGAAUUGGUCAAUUUACUUGUGUAUGAAUAUUACAUUGUUAUAAGUGAGUGAAGGAUCCG